RNAcentral lists this unclassified non-coding RNA (272 nucleotides) under uncultured fungus. Its description in RNAcentral is "partial contains 5.8S ribosomal RNA, internal transcribed spacer 2, and large subunit ribosomal RNA". The stretch from base 1 to 52 matches the Rfam family "5.8S ribosomal RNA", at positions 103 to 154 of the family's 154-position model. Lineage: Eukaryota; Fungi. The record is from RNAcentral.
AACGCACAUUGCGCCCGCCAGUAUUCUGGCGGGCAUGCCUGUCCGAGCGUCAUUUCAACCCUCAGGCCCCCCGGGCGCCUGGCGUUGGGGAUCGGCGGCGCCGCACCUCCGGGUCGCGGCGGCCGUCCCCGAAAUACAGUGGCGGCCCCGCUGCAGUCCUCCUCUGCGUAGUAUAGCACACCUCGCACUGGAACGCGGCGGCGGCCACGCCGUAAAACAACCCACUUCUGAAAGUUGACCUCGGAUCAGGUAGGAAUACCCGCUGAACUUAA